Molecule: ribosomal RNA, 1380 nt
Filed under: uncultured bacterium
Lineage: Bacteria
Description: bacterial SSU rRNA
Rfam family: Bacterial small subunit ribosomal RNA
Source: RNAcentral
AGAGUUUGAUCCUGGCUCAGAUUGAACGCUGGCGGCGUGCCUUACACAUGCAAGUCGAACGUGAAAGUACCUUCGGGUAUGAGUAAAGUGGCGCACGGGUGAGUAACGCGUGGAUAAUCUACCGGGAAGUUCGGAAUAACAGCUGGAAACGGUUGCUAAUACCGGAUACACUACAUAUAAACGUAUGUGGGAAAGACGGCCUCUGCAUAUGCUGUUGCUUUCCGAUGAGUCCGCGUACCAUUAGCUAGUUGGUGGGGUAAAGGCCUACCAAGGCGACGAUGGUUAACUGGUCUGAGAGGAUGAUCAGUCACACUGGAACUGGAACACGGCCCAGACUCCUACGGGAGGCAGCAGUGGGGAAUAUUGGGCAAUGGACGCAAGUCUGACCCAGCAACGCCGCGUGAAGGAAGAAGGCUUUCGGGUUGUAAACUUCUUUUAAGGGGGAAGAGCAGAAGACGGUACCCCUUGAAUAAGCCACGGCUAACUACGUGCCAGCAGCCGCGGUAAUACGUAGGUGGCAAGCGUUGUCCGGAUUUACUGGGUGUAAAGGGCGUGCAGCCGGAGAGACAAGUCAGAUGUGAAAUCCACGGGCUCAACCCGUGAACUGCAUUUGAAACUGUUUCCCUUGAGUGUCGGAGAGGUAAUCGGAAUUCCUUGUGUAGCGGUGAAAUGCGUAGAUAUAAGGAAGAACACCAGUGGCGAAGGCGGAUUACUGGACGAUAACUGACGGUGAGGCGCGAAAGCGUGGGGAGCAAACCAGGAUUAGAUACCCUGGUAGUCCACGCUGUAAACGAUCGAUACUAGGUGUGCGGGGACUGACCCCCUGCGUGCCGGAGUUAACACAAUAAGUAUCGCACCUGGGGAGUACGAUCGCAAGGUUGAAACUCAAAGGAAUUGACGGGGGCCCGCACAAGCGGUGGAUUAUGUGGUUUAAUUCGAAGCAACGCGAAGAACCUUACCAGGGCUUGACAUCCUGCUAACGAAGUAGAGAUACAUUAGGUGCCCUUCGGGGAAAGCAGAGACAGGUGGUGCAUGGUUGUCGUCAGCUCGUGUCGUGAGAUGUUGGGUCAAGUCCCGCAACGAGCGCAACCCCUAUUGUUAGUUGCUACGCAAGAGCACUCUAGCGAGACUGCCGUUGACAAAACGGAGGAAGGCGGGGACGACGUCAAAUCAUCAUGCCCCUUAUGUCCUGGGCUACACACGUAAUACAAUGGCGGUUAACAAAGGGAUGCAAAGCCGCGAGGCAGAGCGAACCCCAAAAAGCCGUCCCAGUUCGGAUCGCAGGCUGCAACCCGCCUGCGUGAAGUCGGAAUCGCUAGUAAUCGCGGAUCAGCAUGCCGCGGUGAAUACGUUCCCGGGCCUUGCACUCACCGCCCGUCA